AUUGAACGCUGGCGGCAGGCCUAACACAUGCAAGUCGAACGAGUGGCGGACGGGUGAGUAAUGUAUGGGAAACUGCCUGAUGGAGGGGGAUAACUACUGGAAACGGUGGAUAAUACCGCAUACCAUCGGAUGUGCCCAGAGGGGAUUAGCUAGUCGGUGGGGUAAAGGCUCACCUAGGCGAAGCUCCCUAGCUGGUCUGAGAGGAUGACCGGCCACACUGGAACUGAGACACGGUCCAGACUCCUACGGGAGGCAGCAGUGGGGAAUAUUGCACAAUGGGCGAAAGCCUGAUCCAGCCAUGCCGCGUGUGUGAAGAAGGUCUUCGGAUUGUAAAGUACUGUUAGUUGGGAGGCGUUACCCACAGAAUAAGCACCGGCUAACUCCGUGCCAGCAGCCGCGGUAAUAC
This 406-nucleotide ribosomal RNA is filed under the name uncultured bacterium. RNAcentral describes it as "partial 16S ribosomal RNA". It matches the Rfam family "Bacterial small subunit ribosomal RNA", at positions 30 to 526 of the family's 1533-position model. The record is from RNAcentral.